AUGUAUAUGUUUGUACAUACUUCCUUUUCGUUUCCAACUGAUGGGUGUUGGGAAUUUUUAAUUUAAUAAAUAAAGCUAAAAUAACUGAUGGGUUUAUACAUACUUCCUUUUCGUUUCCUUUUUAUGGGUGAUGGCUUCUAUGGGUGUAUUUGGUUAUUGUUUGGCUGAACCUAUUUGGCUUCAAUCUUCCUUUCCUUUCCAUGUAUCUUAAACCUUAGCUUUCUACUCUAAUGGGUUUCUUCCUAUUGUCUUUGAUUAUUCGUUUUCGAUUGCAACGACUAAGCUCCGAGGGUGAUGACGGUUAGUUUUCACAAGUUUGGAGACAAGUUUUUUCCUGGAACCAGUGAUGUCAAGGCUUUGCUCAUAUUAUGUCUGGAUACGAAAGACAUAUUGCUUCAUAAUUUCCCUUUCCAUUGUUAUUGAAAUAUCUAAAGCUCUUCAAAAUAACAAUGAGUUACAGACUAUUCAUCUUCCAAUAAUUUACAUGGUGUGGAAUGCUAGCACUAUUUGGUUGUCUAA
This is a long non-coding RNA of Humulus lupulus (European hop), 519 nucleotides long. RefSeq lists it as uncharacterized. The transcript has 3 exons. The record is from RefSeq and is a predicted model, not a curated record. Lineage: Eukaryota; Viridiplantae; Streptophyta; Magnoliopsida; Rosales; Cannabaceae.